CCUACGGGGGGCAGCAGUGAGGAAUAUUGGUCAAUGGGCGCGAGCCUGAACCAGCCAAGUAGCGUGAAGGAUGACUGCCCUACGGGUUGUAAACUUCUGUUAUAAAGGAAUAAAGUGAGGCACGUGUGCCUUUUUGUAUGUACUUUAUGAAUAAGGAUCGGCUAACUCCGUGCCAGCAGCCGCGGUAAUACGGAGGAUCCGAGCGUUAUCCGGAUUUAUUGGGGUGAAAGGGAGCGUAGAUGGGUUGUUAAGUCAGUUGUGAACGUUUGCGGCUCAACCGUAAAAUUGCAAUUGAUACGGGCAGUCUUUAGUACAGUUGAGGUAGGCGGACUUCGUGUUGUAGCGG
RNAcentral lists this ribosomal RNA (346 nucleotides) under uncultured bacterium. RNAcentral's name for it is "partial 16S ribosomal RNA". It matches the Rfam family "Bacterial small subunit ribosomal RNA", at positions 338 to 681 of the family's 1533-position model. The record is from RNAcentral.